CCGAGUUUACAACUCCCAAACCCCUGUGAACAUACCUACUGUUGCCUCGGCGGAUCAGCCCGCUCCCGGUAAAAAGGGACGGCCCGCCCAGAGGACCCCUAAACUCUGUUUCUAUAGUGGAACUUCUGAGUAAAACAAACAAAUAAAUCAA
This 151-nucleotide unclassified non-coding RNA is filed under the name soil metagenome. RNAcentral's name for it is "partial internal transcribed spacer 1". The record is from RNAcentral.